Molecule: small nucleolar RNA, 128 nt
Organism: Echinops telfairi (small Madagascar hedgehog)
Lineage: Eukaryota; Metazoa; Chordata; Mammalia; Afrosoricida; Tenrecidae
Gene: SNORA70
Rfam family: Small nucleolar RNA SNORA70
About the family: snoRNA U70 seems to be exclusive to mammals and is a member of the H/ACA class of snoRNA which contain H (ANANNA) and ACA box motifs. H/ACA box snoRNAs are involved in the conversion of uridines to pseudouridines (5-ribosyluracil) a constituent of structural RNAs (transfer, ribosomal, small nuclear, and small nucleolar).
Source: Ensembl
AAGGAGAAAUUUAAGAGAACAAAGAAAAUUUCUGCCGGUGUGCAAUGGCUGCAAACAGCAAGCCUCCUCGGUAGUGUAUGCAGCCUACUGGUAAGUACAUGCUGCCCUAAGGGACCUUGGAGACAACC